GACGAACGCUGGCGGCGUGCUUAACACAUGCAAGUCGAACGGAAAGGCCCCUUUGGGGGUACUCGAGUGGCGAACGGGUGAGUAACACGUGAGUAACCUGCCCUUGACUUCGGGAUAACUUCAGGAAACUGGGGCUAAUACCGGAUAGGAAUCCUUGCUGCAUGGUGGGGGUUGGAAAGCUUCGGGGGUUUUGGAUGGACUCGCGGCUUAUCUGCUUGUUGGUGGGGUAGUGGCUUACCUAGGCUUUGACGGGUAGCCGGCCUGAGAGGGCGACCGGCCACAUUGGGACUGAGAUACGGCCCAGACUCCUACGGGAGGCAGCAGUGGGGAAUAUUGCACAAUGGGCGGAAGCCUGAUGCAGCAACGCCGCGUGCGGGAUGACGGCCUUCGGGUUGUAAACCGCUUUCAGCAGGGGCGAAGCUUGUGGUGACGGUACCUGCAGAAGAAGCACCGGCUAACUACGUG
This 465-nucleotide ribosomal RNA is filed under the name uncultured bacterium. RNAcentral describes it as "partial 16S ribosomal RNA". It matches the Rfam family "Bacterial small subunit ribosomal RNA", at positions 28 to 507 of the family's 1533-position model. The record is from RNAcentral.